GUGCCAGCAGCCGCGGUAAUACCGGUGGCUCGAGUGGUGGCCGCUAUUAUUGGGUCUAAAGGGUCCGUAGCCGGCCUGAUAAGUUACCUGGGAAAUCCGGUGGCCUAACCAUCGGGCGGCCAGGUAAUACUAUCAGGCUCGGGACUAGGAGAGACCAGAGGUACUCAUGAGGUAGGAGUGAAAUCCUGUAAUCUUAUGAGGACCACCAGUGGUGAAGACGUCUGGUUAGAAUAGGUCCGACGGUGAGGGACGAAGGCUGGGGGCGCAAACCGGAUUAGAUACCCGGGUAGUCCCAGCAGUAAACGAUGCCAGCUAUGUGUUGCUGGAACCAUGGGUUCCAGCAGUGCCGAAGGGAAGCCGUGAAGCUGGCCACCUGGGAAGUACGGUCGCAAGGCUGAAACUUAAAGGAAUUGGCGGGGGAGUACCACAACCGGUGGAGCCUGCGGUUUAAUUGGAUACAACGCCGGGAAUCUUACCGGAGGGGACAGCAGUAUGAAGGCCAGGCUAAAGACCUUGCCAGAUCAGCUGAGAGGAGGUGCAUGGCCGUCGCCAGUUCGUACCGUGAGGCAUCCUGUUUAGUCAGGCAACGAUCGAGACCCGCAGUCUUAUUUGCCAAGCAUGCCCUUUGGGGUGUAUGGGUACAAUAAAGACGAACCGCCAGCGCUAAGCUGGAGGAAGGAGCGGGCUACGGU
RNAcentral lists this ribosomal RNA (692 nucleotides) under uncultured bacterium. Its description in RNAcentral is "bacterial SSU rRNA". It matches the Rfam family "Archaeal small subunit ribosomal RNA", at positions 455 to 1142 of the family's 1478-position model. The record is from RNAcentral.